This 68-nucleotide transfer RNA is filed under the name Polypedilum vanderplanki (sleeping chironomid). RNAcentral's name for it is "tRNA-Leu". Lineage: Eukaryota; Metazoa; Arthropoda; Insecta; Diptera; Chironomidae. The record is from RNAcentral.
ACUAUUUUGGCAGAAAGUAUGCAUUAAAUUUAGAAUUUAAUUAUAUAGAAUUAAUUUUAUAAAUAGUA